Molecule: transfer RNA, 63 nt
Filed under: Camelus bactrianus (Bactrian camel)
Lineage: Eukaryota; Metazoa; Chordata; Mammalia; Artiodactyla; Camelidae
Also listed under: 1 other name
Rfam family: tRNA
About the family: Transfer RNA (tRNA) molecules are approximately 80 nucleotides in length.
Source: Rfam by way of RNAcentral
GAGGGAAUAGUUCAAUGGUAGAGUGCAUGCACGAGGUUCUGGGUUCAAUCCCCAGUACCUCCA